This 265-nucleotide signal recognition particle RNA is filed under the name Oscillospiraceae bacterium. RNAcentral describes it as "signal recognition particle sRNA large type". It matches the Rfam family "Bacterial large signal recognition particle RNA". Rfam says of the family: The signal recognition particle (SRP) is a universally conserved ribonucleoprotein involved in the co-translational targeting of proteins to membranes. Archaeal SRP consists of a 7S RNA and homologues of the eukaryotic SRP19 and SRP54 proteins. The record is from RNAcentral. Lineage: Bacteria; Bacillati; Bacillota; Clostridia; Eubacteriales; Oscillospiraceae.
CUGCACUAGUCGGGGAGUCAGCGGUGCCCUGUAACCUGCAACCCGCUACAGCAGGGAUGAAUCCCGGCCCCCGGACUUGUGAUGUUUUGACAGCCCCUGAUAAGCAGUGAUGACGGACCGGUCUCGCGCAACGUAAAUUCGUGAACCAUGUCAGGCGGGGAACCGAGCAGCAUUAAGCGAAACCUUACGUGUGCCGCGAGGCAACCGGUUCCGAGCCGGCUGUCAGGUCAGCGGGGAUAUCACAUUUUCAAAGGCCGGUGUGCAG